GCCAGCAUGGUAUAGUGGUUUGAGCAUUGGAUUAUGACUCUGGAGGCCAGGGUUCGAAUCCCAGACUGGCC
This is a non-coding RNA of Phrynosoma platyrhinos (Desert horned lizard), 71 nucleotides long. Lineage: Eukaryota; Metazoa; Chordata; Lepidosauria; Squamata; Phrynosomatidae. The record is from the annotation of a GenBank genome assembly.